UGAGGGAUAUUGGUCAAUGGGCGCAAGCCUGAACCAGCGACGCCGCGUGGGUGAAGAAGGUCUUCGGAUCGUAAAGCCCUUUUCCCACUGAAGAGGAAGGACGGUAGGUGGGGAAGAAGUCUCGGCUAACUACGUGCCAGCAGCCGCGGUAAAACGUAGGAGACAAGCGUUAUCCGGAGUUACUGGGCGUAAAGGGCGUGCAGGUGGCGUCUUAAGUCUGUUGUGAAAGCGCCUGGCCUAACCGGGCGAGGCCAAUGGAGACUGAGAGGCUGGAGGACGGCGGAGGGGUGUGGAAUUCCGGGUGUAGUGGUGAAAUGCGUAGAGAUCCGGAGGAACACCAGAGGCGAAGGCGGCACUCUAAACCGUACCUGACACUGAGACGCGACAGCACGGGGAGCAAACG
This 403-nucleotide ribosomal RNA is filed under the name uncultured bacterium. Its description in RNAcentral is "bacterial SSU rRNA". It matches the Rfam family "Bacterial small subunit ribosomal RNA", at positions 355 to 774 of the family's 1533-position model. The record is from RNAcentral.